GAAAUGCGAUAAGUAAUGUGAAUUGCAGAAUUCAGUGAAUCAUCGAAUCUUUGAACGCACCUUGCGCUCCUUGGUAUUCCUUGGAGCAUGCCUGUUUGAGUAUCAUGAAAUCUUCAAAGUAACUCUUUUGUUAACUCAAUUGGUUUCUACUUUGGUAUUGGAGGUCUUUGCAGCUUCACACCUGCUCCUCUUUGUUCAUUAGCUGGAUCUCAGUGUUAUGCUUGGUUCCACUCGGCGUGAUAAGUUAUCUAUCGCUGAGGACACUGUAAAAGGUGGCCAAGGUAAAUGCAGAUGAACGGCUUCUAAUAGUCCAUUGACUUGGACAAUACUUUUAUGAUCUGAUCUCAAAUCAGGUAGGACUACCCGCUGAACUUAAGC
This 378-nucleotide unclassified non-coding RNA is filed under the name plant metagenome. RNAcentral's name for it is "partial contains 5.8S ribosomal RNA, internal transcribed spacer 2, and large subunit ribosomal RNA". The stretch from base 1 to 105 matches the Rfam family "5.8S ribosomal RNA", at positions 50 to 154 of the family's 154-position model. The record is from RNAcentral.